UUCCGGUUGAUCCCGCCGGACCUGACUGCUAUCGGAUUGAUACUAAGCCAUGCGAGUCAUUGUAGUAAUACAAGGCAGACGGCUCAGUAACGCGUAGUCAACCUAACCUAUGGACGGGGAUAACCUCGGGAAACUGAGAAUAAUACCCGAUAGAACAUUAUGCCUGGAAUGGUUUAUGUUUCAAAUAAUUUAUUGCCGUAGGAUGGGACUGCGGCCUAUCAGUUUGUUGGUGAGGUAAUGGCCCACCAAGACUAUUACAGGUACGGGCUCUGAGAGGAGUAGCCCGGAGAUGGGUACUAAGACACGGACCCAGGCCCUAUGGGGCGCAGCAGGCGAGAAAACUUUGCAAUGUGCGAAAGCACGACAAGGUUAAUCCGAGUGGUUUCUGCUAAAGGAACCUUUUGCCAGUCCUAGAAACACUGGUGAAUAAGGGGUGGGCAAGUUCUGGUGUCAGCCGCCGCGGUAAAACCAGCACCUCAAGUGGUCAGGAUGAUUAUUGGGCCUAAAGCAUCCGUAGCCUGCUUUGUUAGUUUUCGGUUAAAUCCAUUCGCUCAACGAAUGGGCUGCCGGGAAUACUGCAAAGCUAGGGAGUGGGAGAGGUAGACGGUACUCGGUAGGAAGGGGUAAAAUCCUUUGAUCUAUUGAUGACCACCUGUGGCGAAGGCGGUCUACCAGAACACGUCCGACGGUGAGGGAUGAAAGCUGGGGGAGCAAACCGGAUUAGAUACCCGGGUAGUCCCAGCUGUAAACUAUGCAAACUCAGUGAUGCAUUGGCUUGAUGCCAAUGCAGUGCUGCAGGGAAGCCGUUAAGUUUGCCGCCUGGGAAGUACGUACGCAAGUAUGAAACUUAAAGGAAUUGGCGGGGGAGCACCACAAGGGGUGAAGCCUGCGGUUCAAUUGGAGUCAACGCCGGG
This 914-nucleotide ribosomal RNA is filed under the name uncultured archaeon. Its description in RNAcentral is "bacterial SSU rRNA". It matches the Rfam family "Archaeal small subunit ribosomal RNA", at positions 1 to 922 of the family's 1478-position model. The record is from RNAcentral.